Molecule: long non-coding RNA, 1537 nt
Filed under: Homo sapiens (human)
Lineage: Eukaryota; Metazoa; Chordata; Mammalia; Primates; Hominidae
Description: HSALNT0277936
Source: RNAcentral
CCAUGCGCGCCCCCACACUGAGCUCUUUCCUUCCUGCUUCUCCUUCUUCCCCAUCUCCUGCCCGAAGAUCCUCCGUGUUGGGCUGAACUUUUGCCCUCUCUUGUCCCCAUGUUAUGGAAGGGCAGCGGCUGGUGUCCCAGGCCAGCCUGUCUGGAGCCUCCCUGCGCGUCUCACAGCUCCCUUCCCAUGGUAGCGUGUUCCCAUGGCGCGGUGACCUACAAAUUACACAAGGGAUGCAUUUGCAAAGGACACUUUAUUUCUUGUUAAGGGUGACAGCCUGCAAGGUAGCCAUCCAGCAGCCUGGGAAGAGCAGCCUCUGGUUAACACCAGAGACAGACAUUUAGGAGCAGGAGGGGUUUGGGCAGGAGCUUUAUGCUGAAGAGGUUGGCUAAACAUACAUAUUCAACAGGCUACAGGAGGAGCUAUGAAUAUUCAUGUAGGUGGUUGCAGUCCAUGCUUAUUGAACAAACAUGUGUGGAACAUAUGAUCCCAGCCGGGCAUAGUGGCUGAUGCCUGUAAUCCCAGCACUUGGAGAGGCUGAGACAGGCGGAUCACCUGAGGUCAGGAGUUCGAGACCAGUCUGGCCAACAUGGUGAGACCCCAUCUCUACUAAAACUACAAAAUUAACCAGGUGUGGUGAUGCAUGCCUUUUACUCGGGAGGCUGAAGCAGAAGAAUCGCUUAAACUCGGGAGGCGGAGGUUGCAGUGAGUCCAGAUUGUGCCAUUGCAUUCCAGCCUGGACAAGAGGAGCAACACUCUGUCUCAAAAAAAAAAAAAAAAAAAAAAAAGAUGAUAUUUGGAGGCAGAGAGAUCCCAGAGGUGCGUGUGCAUAGAGGAAAGGCCACAGAGGACACGGCUGGAAGAGACUCCCUGCCAGCCAGAAGGAGCGGCCUCAGAGGAAACAACCCCACCCACCCCUCGAAGUUGGACCUGCAGCUUCCAGAUCUGUGAGAAAAUAAAUGCCUGCCAUGUGGGCACCUGGCCUGGGACAUCUUCUAUGGAGGCCACAGCAUGAAAGGGUCAUUUUUAUGGAGAAUCUCAUUCUCUAAAACUUACAUCUGCUUUGAAAAUGUCAAAUCAAAUUUAAAGUGUUUAGAAGAGCCUCUAAAUUUCAUAUUUCAUUUGCAAAGAAAGAAUUGUAAUUUGAGACAGUCUCAGGAGUCAGGCUUGCAGAGAAGUCCAUUUCGGAAACAAUGUUGUGUGGCCUGACUGCUUUUCCUCCCUGGCUCCUGGCCUCUGUUUUAGCUGGGUAGGACAUGAAUGACCCAAUUCAUAGGAUGAAAUUUACAAAGGAUGUUUCUCAAAACUUCGGGUUUUCAACUUACAUAUAUUCACACCUGUUUAGGUUGAGUUUAUUUAUCGAUUUAUUUUCAGGCAGGGUCUCUAUCUGUUGCCCAGACCCGAGUUCAGUGGCGCGAUCUCUGUUCACUCCAGCCUCCACCUCUCGGGCUCAAGUAAUCCUCCCACUUCAGCCUCCCAAGUAGCUUGGACUACAGAUGCAUGCCACCACAUCUGGCUUUUUUUUUUUUUUUUUUUU